Molecule: non-coding RNA, 29 nt
Filed under: Mus musculus (house mouse)
Lineage: Eukaryota; Metazoa; Chordata; Mammalia; Rodentia; Muridae
Source: RNAcentral
UUUGAACAAAAGGUGCCAAUCCCUGAAUA